GCUUUCAUGGUGUAGUGGUCAGCACGCUGGGCGCAUAUUCCAGAAGUCCGUGGUUCGAGCCCCGGCGAAGGCG
This 73-nucleotide transfer RNA is filed under the name Stegodyphus mimosarum. It matches the Rfam family "tRNA". Rfam says of the family: Transfer RNA (tRNA) molecules are approximately 80 nucleotides in length. Their secondary structure includes four short double-helical elements and three loops (D, anti-codon, and T loops). Lineage: Eukaryota; Metazoa; Arthropoda; Arachnida; Araneae; Eresidae. The record is from Rfam by way of RNAcentral.